RNAcentral lists this ribosomal RNA (65 nucleotides) under Colletotrichum truncatum. RNAcentral describes it as "partial 28S ribosomal RNA". The record is from RNAcentral. Lineage: Eukaryota; Fungi; Ascomycota; Sordariomycetes; Glomerellales; Glomerellaceae.
UAAGGUUGACCUCGGAUCAGGUAGGAAUACCCGCUGAACUUAAGCAUAUCAAUAAGCCCGGAGGA